This 253-nucleotide ribosomal RNA is filed under the name uncultured bacterium. RNAcentral's name for it is "partial 16S ribosomal RNA". It matches the Rfam family "Bacterial small subunit ribosomal RNA", at positions 524 to 776 of the family's 1533-position model. The record is from RNAcentral.
UACGGAGGGUGCAAGCAUUAAUCGGAUUUAUUGGGCGUAAAGGGCGCGUAGGCGGACCUGAAAGUCAGAUGUGAAAUCCCGGGGCUCAACCUCGGAACUGCAUUUGAAACUUCAGGCCUAGAGGGUAGGCGGAGAAAACGGAAUUCCACAAGUAGCGGUGAAAUGCGUAGAUAUGUGGAAGAACACCGGUGGCGAAGGCGGUUUUCUAGCUUAUUCCUGACGCUGAGGCGCGAAAGCAAGGGGAUCAAACAGG